RNAcentral lists this transfer RNA (87 nucleotides) under Anaerosolibacter carboniphilus. Its description in RNAcentral is "tRNA-Leu". It matches the Rfam family "tRNA". From Rfam's summary of the family: Transfer RNA (tRNA) molecules are approximately 80 nucleotides in length. Their secondary structure includes four short double-helical elements and three loops (D, anti-codon, and T loops). Further hydrogen bonds mediate the characteristic L-shaped molecular structure. tRNAs have two regions of fundamental functional importance: the anti-codon, which is responsible for specific mRNA codon recognition, and the 3' end, to which the tRNAs corresponding amino acid is attached (by aminoacyl-tRNA synthetases). tRNAs cope with the degeneracy of the genetic code in two manners: having more than one tRNA (with a specific anti-codon) for a particular amino acid; and 'wobble' base-pairing, i.e. permitting non-standard base-pairing at the 3rd anti-codon position. The record is from RNAcentral. Lineage: Bacteria; Bacillati; Bacillota; Clostridia; Peptostreptococcales; Thermotaleaceae.
GCGGUUGUGGCGGAAUUGGCAGACGCGCUAGAUUCAGGUUCUAGUAGUCGCAAGACUGUGGGGGUUCGAGUCCCUUCAUCCGCACCA